Molecule: ribosomal RNA, 3394 nt
Filed under: Salmonella enterica subsp. enterica serovar Typhimurium
Lineage: Bacteria; Pseudomonadati; Pseudomonadota; Gammaproteobacteria; Enterobacterales; Enterobacteriaceae
Description: bacterial LSU rRNA
Rfam family: Bacterial large subunit ribosomal RNA
Source: RNAcentral
UUAAGCGACUAAGCGUACACGGUGGAUGCCCUGGCAGUCAGAGGCGAUGAAGGGCGUGCUAAUCUGCGAUAAGCGCCGGUAAGGUGAUAUGAACCGUUAUAACCGGCGAUACCCGAAUGGGGAAACCCAGUGUGAUUCGUCACACUAUCAUUAACUGAAUCCAUAGGUUAAUGAGGCGAACCGGGGGAACUGAAACAUCUAAGUACCCCGAGGAAAAGAAAUCAACCGAGAUUCCCCCAGUAGCGGCGAGCGAACGGGGAGGAGCCCAGAGCCUGAAUCAGCAUGUGUGUUAGUGGAAGCGUCUGGAAAGGCGCGCGAUACAGGGUGACAGCCCCGUACACAAAAGCGCAUGUGCUGUGAGCUCGAUGAGUAGGGCGGGACACGUGGUAUCCUGUCUGAAUAUGGGGGGACCAUCCUCCAAGGCUAAAUACUCCUGACUGACCGAUAGUGAACCAGUACCGUGAGGGAAAGGCGAAAAGAACCCCGGCGAGGGGAGUGAAAAAGAACCUGAAACCGUGUACGUACAAGCAGUGGGAGCACCCUUCGGGGUGUGACUGCGUACCUUUUGUAUAAUGGGUCAGCGACUUAUAUUCUGUAGCAAGGUUAACCGUAUAGGGGAGCCGGAGGGAAACCGAGUCUUAAUUGGGCGUUAAGUUGCAGGGUAUAGACCCNNNNNNNNNNCAAAGCAUUCUCUGGUGUUGAAGGCCCUGCAAAGCAGCAUCGCGGUGGCGGAGCGUCGUUUGCGACGCCCAACACACAAAACAAGCGGUGAAUGCUUUGGGGUGGGGUGACUGCGUACCUUUUGUAUAAUGGGUCAGCGACUUAUAUUCUGUAGCAAGGUNNNNNNNNNNUAAGCCAGUGGUGAACUCCACAUCCGCAUCCUUUGCUGAGGAUACGGUUAACGGAGCGAAAGCGACGUUCAACCGCAAAACAAGCAGAGGGGGCUUAGUGGUGGGGUGACUGCGUACCUUUUGUAUAAUGGGUCAGCGACUUAUAUUCUGUAGCAAGGUUAACCGAAUAGGGGAGCCGGAGGGAAACCGAGUCUUAAUUGGGCGUUAAGUUGCAGGGUAUAGACCCGAAACCCGGUGAUCUAGCCAUGGGCAGGUUGAAGGUUGGGUAACACUAACUGGAGGACCGAACCGACUAAUGUUGAAAAAUUAGCGGAUGACCUGUGGCUGGGGGUGAAAGGCCAAUCAAACCGGGAGAUAGCUGGUUCUCCCCGAAAGCUAUUUAGGUAGCGCCUCGUGAAUUCAUCUCCGGGGGUAGAGCACUGUUUCGGCUAGGGGGCCAUCCCGGCUUACCAACCCGAUGCAAACUGCGAAUACCGGAGAAUGUUAUCACGGGAGACACACGGCGGGUGCUAACGUCCGUCGUGAAGAGGGAAACAACCCAGACCGCCAGCUAAGGUCCCAAAGUCAUGGUUAAGUGGGAAACGAUGUGGGAAGGCCCAGACAGCCAGGAUGUUGGCUUAGAAGCAGCCAUCAUUUAAAGAAAGCGUAAUAGCUCACUGGUCGAGUCGGCCUGCGCGGAAGAUGUAACGGGGCUAAACCAUGCACCGAAGCUGCGGCAGCGAACGUAUCACCCAAGACAACUUUACGGAGUUGACGAUUGACGGAGCGAAGCGACGUCAAAGCGUUCAUUAAAGUCGAGUUGGCUUAGGGAUACGUUCGUUGGGUAGGGGAGCGUUCUGUAAGCCUGUGAAGGUGUGUCGUGAGGCAUGCUGGAGGUAUCAGAAGUGCGAAUGCUGACAUAAGUAACGAUAAAGCGGGUGAAAAGCCCGCUCGCCGGAAGACCAAGGGUUCCUGUCCAACGUUAAUCGGGGCAGGGUGAGUCGACCCCUAAGGCGAGGCCGAAAGGCGUAGUCGAUGGGAAACGGGUUAAUAUUCCCGUACUUGGUGUUACUGCGAAGGGGGGACGGAGAAGGCUAUGUUGGCCGGGCGACGGUUGUCCCGGUUUAAGCGUGUAGGUGUGUGUUCCAGGUAAAUCCGGUUCACUUUAACACUGAGGCGUGACGACGAGGCACUACGGUGCUGAAGCAACAAAUGCCCUGCUUCCAGGAAAAGCCUCUAAGCAUCAGGUAACACGAAAUCGUACCCCAAACCGACACAGGUGGUCAGGUAGAGAAUACCAAGGCGCUUGAGAGAACUCGGGUGAAGGAACUAGGCAAAAUGGUGCCGUAACUUCGGGAGAAGGCACGCUGACACGUAGGUGAAGUGAUUUACUCAUGGAGCUGAAGUCAGUCGAAGAUACCAGCUGGCUGCAACUGUUUAUUAAAAACACAGCACUGUGCAAACACGAAAGUGGACGUAUACGGUGUGACGCCUGCCCGGUGCCGGAAGGUUAAUUGAUGGGGUCAGCGCAAGCGAAGCUCCUGAUCGAAGCCCCGGUAAACGGCGGCCGUAACUAUAACGGUCCUAAGGUAGCGAAAUUCCUUGUCGGGUAAGUUCCGACCUGCACGAAUGGCGUAAUGAUGGCCAGGCUGUCUCCACCCGAGACUCAGUGAAAUUGAACUCGCUGUGAAGAUGCAGUGUACCCGCGGCAAGACGGAAAGACCCCGUGAACCUUUACUAUAGCUUGACACUGAACAUUGAGCCUUGAUGUGUAGGAUAGGUGGGAGGCUUUGAAGUGUGGACGCCAGUCUGCAUGGAGCCGACCUUGAAAUACCACCCUUUAAUGUUUGAUGUUCUAACGUGGACCCGUAAUCCGGGUUGCGGACAGUGUCUGGUGGGUAGUUUGACUGGGGCGGUCUCCUCCUAAAGAGUAACGGAGGAGCACGAAGGUUGGCUAAUCCUGGUCGGACAUCAGGAGGUUAGUGCAAUGGCAUAAGCCAGCUUGACUGCGAGCGUGACGGCGCGAGCAGGUGCGAAAGCAGGUCAUAGUGAUCCGGUGGUUCUGAAUGGAAGGGCCAUCGCUCAACGGAUAAAAGGUACUCCGGGGAUAACAGGCUGAUACCGCCCAAGAGUUCAUAUCGACGGCGGUGUUUGGCACCUCGAUGUCGGCUCAUCACAUCCUGGGGCUGAAGUAGGUCCCAAGGGUAUGGCUGUUCGCCAUUUAAAGUGGUACGCGAGCUGGGUUUAGAACGUCGUGAGACAGUUCGGUCCCUAUCUGCCGUGGGCGCUGGAGAACUGAGGGGGGCUGCUCCUAGUACGAGAGGACCGGAGUGGACGCAUCACUGGUGUUCGGGUUGUCAUGCCAAUGGCACUGCCCGGUAGCUAAAUGCGGAAGAGAUAAGUGCUGAAAGCAUCUAAGCACGAAACUUGCCCCGAGAUGAGUUCUCCCUGAGACUUAGAGUCUCCUGAAGGAACGUUGAAGACGACGACGUUGAUAGGCCGGGUGUGUAAGCGCAGCGAUGCGUUGAGCUAACCGGUACUAAUGAACCGUGAGGCUUAACCUU